This is a non-coding RNA of Pantherophis guttatus, 238 nucleotides long. The record is from RefSeq and is a predicted model, not a curated record. NCBI's taxonomy places the organism in Eukaryota, Metazoa, Chordata, Lepidosauria, Squamata, Colubridae.
UGGCAUUCAAAGUAUUAUGGAAAUGCUCAAUGAUUAAAAUAGACAAGCAGAAGAAGGGUGAAGGGAAACAACAAAGAAGAUGCAUAACAUGUGAUGACAGAAAAAUGUGAGCCAAUCCUCUUCUGCAUUAAAACGAUGAAGGUGGAAAAAAUGAAGCUGAUGGCGAUGGAUAUGCUCAAGAAGGAUAAAGAGGAAAAGAGACAGACACCAGUCAGAGAUUAGACUUCUUCCAAGCCAU